This 700-nucleotide ribosomal RNA is filed under the name bacterium Y1. RNAcentral describes it as "bacterial SSU rRNA". It matches the Rfam family "Bacterial small subunit ribosomal RNA", at positions 59 to 742 of the family's 1533-position model. The record is from RNAcentral.
AGGUCGAGCUAGAGGAAGGGAGCUUGCUCCCGGAUGUUAGCGGCGGACGGGUGAGUAACACGUGGGUAACCUGCCUGUAAGACUGGGAUAACUCCGGGAAACCGGAGCUAAUACCGGAUAGUUCCUUGAACCGCAUGGUUCAAGGAUGAAAGACGGUUUCGGCUGUCACUUACAGAUGGACCCGCGGCGCAUUAGCUAGUUGGUGAGGUAACGGCUCACCAAGGCGACGAUGCGUAGCCGACCUGAGAGGGUGAUCGGCCACACUGGGACUGAGACACGGCCCAGACUCCUACGGGAGGCAGCAGUAGGGAAUCUUCCGCAAUGGACGAAAGUCUGACGGAGCAACGCCGCGUGAGUGAUGAAGGUUUUCGGAUCGUAAAGCUCUGUUGUUAGGGAAGAACAAGUGCAAGAGUAACUGCUUGCACCUUGACGGUACCUAACCAGAAAGCCACGGCUAACUACGUGCCAGCAGCCGCGGUAAUACGUAGGUGGCAAGCGUUGUCCGGAAUUAUUGGGCGUAAAGGGCUCGCAGGCGGUUUCUUAAGUCUGAUGUGAAAGCCCCCGGCUCAACCGGGGAGGGUCAUUGGAAACUGGGAAACUUGAGUGCAGAAGAGGAGAGUGGAAUUCCACGUGUAGCGGUGAAAUGCGUAGAGAUGUGGAGGAACACCAGUGGCGAAGGCGACUCUCUGGUCUGUAACUG